Molecule: ribosomal RNA, 398 nt
Filed under: uncultured bacterium
Lineage: Bacteria
Description: bacterial SSU rRNA
Rfam family: Bacterial small subunit ribosomal RNA
Source: RNAcentral
GACGAACGCUGGCGGCGUGCUUAACACAUGCAAGUCGAGCGGUAAGGCCCUUUCGGGGGUACGACGAGCGGCGAACGGGUGAGUAACACGUGGGUGACCUGCCCUCCAGCUCUGGGAUAAGCCUGGGAAACCGGGUCUAAUACCGGAUAUGACUCCAUGACGCAUGUUGUGGGGUGGAAAGCCUUGUGCGGCUGAGGAUGGGCCCGCGGCCUAUCAGCUUGUUGGUGGGGUGAUGGCCUACCAAGGCGACGACGGGUAGCCGGCCUGAGAGGGCGACCGGCCACACUGGGACUGAGACACGGCCCAGACUCCUACGGGAGGCAGCAGUGGGGAAUCUUGCGCAAUGGGCGAAAGCCUGACGCAGCGACGCCGCGUGAGGGAUGACGGCCUGGUGUAAC